GUGCUCACUUUGGCAGCACUUAUUGUAAAAACUGGACAAUACAGAUUAGCAUGGCCCCUGCACAAGGAUGACAUGGAAAUUUGUGAACUAUUCCAUACUUUA
Perognathus longimembris pacificus (Pacific pocket mouse) is the source of this 102-nucleotide small nuclear RNA. The record is from RefSeq and is a predicted model, not a curated record. NCBI's taxonomy places the organism in Eukaryota, Metazoa, Chordata, Mammalia, Rodentia, Heteromyidae.